UAUUGCACAAUGGGCGCAAGCCUGAUGCAGCAACGCCGCGUGAGGGACGACGGCCUUCGGGUUGUAAACCUCUUUUGGCAGGGAAGAAGCGAAAGUGACGGUACCUGCAGAAAAAGCACCGGCUAACUACGUGCCAGCAGCCGCGGUGAUACGUAGGGUGCAAGCGUUGUCCGGAAUUAUUGGGCGUAAAGAGCUCGUAGGCGGUUUGUCGCGUCUGCUGUGAAAACCCGAGGCUCAACCUCGGGCCUGUAGUGGGUACGGGCAAACUAGAGUGCGGUAGGGGAGAUUGGAAGUCCUGGUGUAGCGGUGGAAUGCGCAGAUAUCAGCAGGAACACCAGUGGCGAAAGCGGUUUCCUGGACUGUAACUGACGCUCAGACGCGAGAGCUAGGGUAGCAAACG
Molecule: ribosomal RNA, 400 nt
Filed under: uncultured bacterium
Lineage: Bacteria
Description: bacterial SSU rRNA
Rfam family: Bacterial small subunit ribosomal RNA
Source: RNAcentral